Molecule: long non-coding RNA, 379 nt
Organism: Labrus mixtus (cuckoo wrasse)
Lineage: Eukaryota; Metazoa; Chordata; Actinopteri; Labriformes; Labridae
Exons: 3
Source: RefSeq, a predicted model, not a curated record
CUAAUGUUUUCAUCAACAUGAACUUUUGGUUCAUUUAAUGCCACAGCGUCUCUUUGAUUCAUUCACUCAGAAGACAGGUGAGAUCUUAAAAGGAGCUGAAAUCAAAAGAAGAGACAGGAAGCAGCACAGAGGAGACAGGACGCAGCACUGACGAGCUGAAGGAUCAAAGACGCCCCAGCAGUAAGAGAGAGAGGCCCAGAUACAAAGAAAGAUGUGUGGCGUCAGAGAUUACAUGGAAGAGUAAGCUGAGACCUCGAAGCAAACAGAACACCCGACCACACACUCCGAUUCAAGAGGAGACAGACGAGUUUGGAGACAACGCAAGAGCUGUGGACCAUGUUUUGCAUGAUUAGGCUGCAAGACAAAUCUGAAUAAAUAU